GCAUUCAAAUUUUUUAUGCCUGUGAAUGGAUUUAGAUUUCUUUGUCAGGACACAGUGCUGGCACAUUAUGUUAUCCCUAUCAGAAACAAAAAAGAACAGUUUGAAAAUGUAUACAAAUCCUCUCCUGUGUCAGCAAGACAUCAGAGUGACUUAUUUAAAUGAUUAGUUUGUAAUGUGCUUCUGUUUUAGGAAAACAAGGUCUGUGGGUAAAGGAAUUGUACAAAUUGAAUAAAUUGGGAAGUCUCUUCCUAGUAAUCUGCAGAGAUGG
Molecule: long non-coding RNA, 268 nt
Filed under: Homo sapiens (human)
Lineage: Eukaryota; Metazoa; Chordata; Mammalia; Primates; Hominidae
Description: HSALNT0351425
Source: RNAcentral